GCACGCAGGCGGUUUGGUAAGUCAGGGGUGAAAGGCCACAGCUUAACUGUGGUAUUGCCUUUGAUACUGCCUUUCUUGAGUACAGUAGGGGGAAGCGGAAUUCCGAGUGUAGAGGUGAAAUUCGUAGAUAUUCGGAGGAACACCGGUGGCGAAGGCGGCUUCCUGGACUGUAACUGACGCUCAUGUGCGAAAGCGUGGGGAGCAAACAGGAUUAGAUACCCUGGUAGUCCACGCCCUAAACGAUGGGCACUAGGUGUGGGAGGUAUCGACCCCUUCCGUGCCGCAGCUAACGCAUUAAGUGCCCCGCCUGGGGAGUACGGCCGCAAGGUUGAA
Molecule: ribosomal RNA, 333 nt
Filed under: uncultured bacterium
Lineage: Bacteria
Description: bacterial SSU rRNA
Rfam family: Bacterial small subunit ribosomal RNA
Source: RNAcentral